CUGGGGUAAUGCGCGCGCAGGCGGUUGUGUAAGUUAGAUGUGAAAUCCCCGGGCUCACCUGGGAACUGCAUUUGAAACUGUCGGCUAGAGUCUGCAGAGGGGGAUGGAAUUCCAGCGUGUAGCGGUGAAAUGCGUAAUAUCUGGAGGAACACCGGUGGCGAAGGCGUUCCCCUGGGACAAGUACUGACGCUCAUGGCGAAAGCGUGGUGAGCAAACAGGAUUAGAUACCCUGGUAGUCCACGCCGUAAACGAUGUCACUGGUGGGGUGCCCUUGAGACUUGGGUUCCGGAGUUACCGCUUUAAAUCAACCGCCUGGGAAUACGGCCGCAAGUUUAAAACUCAAGGAAUGGACGGGACCCCGCCCAGCGGGGGAAGAAUGGGGUUAAUUCCAAGGCAAGCGAAAACCUUACCUGCUUUGAAAUUUUCGGAAUCCUUCCAAAAAGCGGGAGGUCUUCGGAAAACCUAACCAGGGGCUGUGGCUUCCACCCCCCCUUCCAUGAAAAUUGGUUUAAGUCCCGCAAAAAAGGAACCCCUUUCUUUUUUGCCCCCAAAUUUGACCUAAAUCAGGCCAUUGCCAGGGGUAACCCGGGGAGGUGGGUUUACCCCAAUUUCUUUUUCUUAGGCAAGGUCCCCCCUCCUUGAAAUUAUGGCCCAAUAUGAUUUUCCAAACCCAAGGGCUUCAUUCAAUUUGGAACCCCGUUCCUUAACCCAAUUCAUAUCCAAACCAUUGGGGAGGGAAAAAAAAAA
This 747-nucleotide ribosomal RNA is filed under the name Aeromonas sp. DCU5. RNAcentral's name for it is "partial 16S ribosomal RNA". It matches the Rfam family "Bacterial small subunit ribosomal RNA", at positions 554 to 1279 of the family's 1533-position model. Lineage: Bacteria; Pseudomonadati; Pseudomonadota; Gammaproteobacteria; Aeromonadales; Aeromonadaceae. The record is from RNAcentral.